UGCAAAUGUCUCCGUAGUUCUCAGCGCCAGUGGUUACUCUUUCAUUCACCCCACGAACGAUGCUUGGGUGCCUGGCCUUUGACAGAGAAAUGAACGAGACCCAGUCCCUGUCCACAUCAAGGACUGAAGGGCUGGGUGGCAAACGCUAUACCUCCGAAGAACUGGAGGCGCGGGGACCGGAUAGAAGAAAGCUGUCCGGGAGGCGUGACGGCCCUGGGGCUGGCAGUCGCCUGCCCUGUUGGCACUCCGGUGUUUGGUGAACGGAGAGCAUUCCGGGUGGAAGAAAGGUGGCUGCCAGGAAAACGUCUCGGCGUGCAGGACGGGUGGGUGCCAGGAGAUAAAGCUGGAAAGGUAAGCAGGGGCGACCCUGACGGGCUUCACGUGCGUGAUAAGACAUUUGCACAAUGUUCUCCGUAGCCCAGACGGCGUUUUACUCAGCCCUGAUUUACACUUUAAAGUACAACUGGCAGCCAGGCUGGGUUGGAGGAGGAAAAAAUCUGAAGUACGUAUGAAGUAUGGUGACAGAAUGGAGGCGGAGGUGGGCUGAUAAUUCAUUUAUUCAUUAGCAGUCUUGUCUCUUCCAUGGAGAUGGAACUCGUGUGAGAGAAGAACUGUGUCUGUUUAGUUCAUUUCUCUUGCCCAGCACUCAGAAGAGUGCCUGGCACACGUAGGCCUCAAACUACUGUUUGUUGGAUGGAUGGAUGGAUGGAUGGAUGGAUGGACGGACGGAUGACCUUGCGGUGGAUAGGACUUUCUGAUUGGAUAGCAGAGGAAAAUGGGAAGUGUAGGUGAGCGAUCACCGGAGACGCGAGGAACACAAAUAGUGGAAUCCUGUUUAGUGGGUGUUUGCUGAGCUCUUUUCGUGGGCUGCCCACUAACAAGAGGCUGUAGGGCAAAAGACCAGAGCAGGCUUGCAACUAAUACUGUAGUCAAGGGAGGGGCCCAGGGCCCAGAGUGUGCUAACAAGUGCCAACUCUAGGUUUUAGUCCCACUAACAACAACAACAAAAAAUGUCAGCUUCCUUUCUGACCACUUACAGGACCAAGUUGAGAAGUGCAUGCUUUUUCGUUUUGUUUUGAAUAUUACCAUCCACAUCCAAAGAGUCCAGAUGACUCUGACUUUCAAGCUGUGUGUUAUUUUGUUAUAUCGAUGUGUCAUCAUUUAAUAAAACAAUUCCCUGGAGCUUUUGUUGUCUGUUUACCUCCAAAGAUAAUGCAGGAAUGAAUAUCUUCAUGGCUUCCUUUUCCUUUUUCCUUUUUUUUUUUUGUUUUGUUUUUUUUUUUUUGUUUUUUGCUUUUGUUGACCAUUUCACAGAUUACCAGUUAAGUAAUAUUACAUCUUGUAGCUUUUACUACAUACUCCCUCGUUGCUUUCCGAAAAGUUAAUGAUGGCGACUGCAGUAUUUAUUUACACAACAAUUACAAAUUGAGUAUCUACUAGUGGUAGGCACUGAGUUGAGCUCUAGGGGUAUAAUAUGGGCAAUAUAGACACAGACCCUGCUGUCGUGUAGCUUCCAGCCUCUAAUGGGAGGGUGGCAUUCAUCAGGUUAUCACACAAGUGUGUAAUUGCAAACAGACAAAUAGUGUGAAUUAAAAAUACUGGCCGCUAGCCAAGACAGUGAAACCAGUAUUAUAAUUUCAGCAGCACUGGUGGUAGUUUGCGGGGUUUUAUUUUUAAUUUUCCUACUGUACUAUCUAACAAAUGGUUUCUCAGUGUUGCCUUGCCUUUUAGAUUUUAAGUUAAAGCCAAUUGUUUCUCUCUAGUUCACCCUGCUGCUUAAGGGGAGUCCUCUAUUGUAAACCAGCAAAAAAUUACAAAUUUAGGCCUGAGGUUUUUAAAGAUGAAUAGCUAGAGUGUACUUAUGAACUUGUUCUACCCUCUCCUUUAUCUUUUAAUGGGACUCCUCAUAUCAGUCAUUUCAACUGUCUGAGCUCAAUAGAGAAGAAUAAUUCUUGCCUACCUAACUCACAAGGCUACUAUGAGAAUUAAACAAACAAACAAAAAAAUUAAAAGAGCUUUGCAAACAACAAAGAUGUUUGGAUGAUAAUCUCCUGCAUCUGCACUGCCCUAUUUACUUUUGUUCGCUUUAUUUCAUGUAUAUUUAACACAUAUUCAUUGGACGUUGAUCUUGUGUCAGGUGCUGGAGACGCACAAAUGAACAAGAGCCUAUCUGUGCCCUCAUGGAACUUACAUUGUAAUGUGCACUGGAGCACUGUGGGUCAAGGUGAAAAGAAUUCGAAAGUCACUACCUACCCAGUCCCAUCACUGCACAGCACAGGAACCAGAGGAGUGCACAUUUACCUUUCCCAUGUUUUGAUUGUUCCUCGCUGCCCACGUGACCCACGGCCGAUGCUCCCUCUCAGGCACACCCGGAGGAUGCUUUAUCUAAGUAUUAAAAGAUUGGACCCUGUCUGCAAGUAAUGGGGUAACAACUUUCAAUUCCCAUUUAAAGAUUUCCGUAUUAUCCCCUAU
RNAcentral lists this long non-coding RNA (2472 nucleotides) under Lynx pardinus (Iberian lynx). Lineage: Eukaryota; Metazoa; Chordata; Mammalia; Carnivora; Felidae. The record is from RNAcentral.